RNAcentral lists this long non-coding RNA (340 nucleotides) under Nicotiana tabacum (common tobacco). RNAcentral's name for it is "long non-coding RNA (NTAB_LNC017177)". The record is from RNAcentral. Lineage: Eukaryota; Viridiplantae; Streptophyta; Magnoliopsida; Solanales; Solanaceae.
AUUUAUACAACUCAUGAAGCAAGAAAAAGUGAAGGCAUAAGCCAAUUGCCCUGAAGAGCCUGAAGCAACAGUCAUGUUUGAAGGAACCACAUUCCGGAAAAGAGAAUUUCGAUGAGACUUGAGUCAGAGCAAUCUGUCGUGCUGCACCUCUUCUUGCCAUAAAUCAAGUCUGAGCAAUUCGUCGAGCUGCACCUCUUUGCAAUUAUAUCGAUGGAUAUAUAUGUAUGGUUCUAAUUUUGUUCAAGUUGCGGCUGCGCCUUUAUCUAGUCUAAAGACAUAAUACUAAAUUUAUUUGGUGUGUGUAAUAGUACUCUGUGGUAUGGAACUUGUAAUAAUACAC